CGGACGGGUGAGUAACGCGUGAGAAUCUGCCUCCAGGUCGGGGACAACAGCGGGAAACUGCUGCUAAUCCCGGAUAAGCCCUAGGGUAAAAGAUUUAUUGCCUGGAGAGGAGCUCGCGUCCGAUUAGCUAGAUGGUGAAGUAAGAGCUCACCAUGGCGACGAUCGGUAGCUGUUCUGAGAGGAAGAUCAGCCACACUGGGACUGAGACACGGCCCAGACUCCUACGGGAGGCAGCAGUGGGGAAUUUUCCGCAAUGGGCGAAAGCCUGACGGAGCAAGACCGCGUGCGGGAAGAAGGCCCUUGGGUCGUAAACCGCUUUUCUUAGGGAAGAAGCUCUGACGGUACCUAAGGAAUCAGCCUCGGCUAACUCCGUGCCAGCAGCCGCGGUAAUACGGAGGAGGCAAGCGUUAUCCGGAAUUAUUGGGCGUAAAGCGUCCGCAGGCGGCUUAUCAAGUCUGCUGUCAAAGACUGGGGCUCAACCCUGGGGAGGCAGUGGAAACUGAGAAGCUAGAGUGCAGUAGGGGUAGAGGGAAUUCCCAGUGUAGCGGUGAAAUGCGUAGAGAUUGGGAAGAACACCGGUGGCGAAAGCGCUCUACUGGGCUGUAACUGACGCUGAGGGACGAAAGCUAGGGGAGCGAAAGGGAUUAGAUACCCCUGUAG
This 660-nucleotide ribosomal RNA is filed under the name uncultured cyanobacterium. RNAcentral's name for it is "bacterial SSU rRNA". It matches the Rfam family "Bacterial small subunit ribosomal RNA", at positions 99 to 793 of the family's 1533-position model. Lineage: Bacteria; Bacillati; Cyanobacteriota. The record is from RNAcentral.